UAGGGAAUCUUCCGCAAUGGGCGAAAGCUUGACGGAGCAACGCCGCGUGAGUGAUGAAGGUCUUCGGAUCGUAAAACUCUGUUAUUAGGGAAGAACAAAUGUGUAAGUAACUAUGCACGUCUUGACGGUACCUAAUCCGAAAGCCACGGCUAACUACGUGCCAGCAGCCGCGGUAAUACGUAGGUGGCAAGCGUUAUCCGGAAUUAUUGGGCGUAAAGCGCGCGUAGGCGGUUUUUUAAGUCUGAUGUGAAAGCCCACGGCUCAACCGUGGAGGGUCAUUGGAAACUGGAAAACUUGAGUGCAGAAGAGGAAAGUGGAAUUCCAUGUGUAGCGGUGAAAUGCGCAGAGAUAUGGAGGAACACCAGUGGCGAAGGCGACUUUCUGGUCUGUAACUGACGCUGAUGUGCGAAAGCGUGGGGAUCAAACAGG
RNAcentral lists this ribosomal RNA (429 nucleotides) under Actinomycetes bacterium. RNAcentral's name for it is "Actinobacteria bacterium partial 16S ribosomal RNA". It matches the Rfam family "Bacterial small subunit ribosomal RNA", at positions 355 to 776 of the family's 1533-position model. Lineage: Bacteria; Bacillati; Actinomycetota; Actinomycetes. The record is from RNAcentral.